GACGAGACGCAGCACGACCCCAACGAGGCUUUGAACAACAAGGCUACAUAAACAGGAACAGGAUGUCCCACUCAACAUCUAAGGGCCAGAGACGUACAAACCCAUAGAACACAAAGAAGCCAAGGCUCCGGCACAGACAAUGUGGAGGUCGAGGAUCAUGUACGAACACCAGAGUUUGUUUUAAGCGCAAACACUGAGCAGACAGCUAGAGGACUGUGAUGAGCAAUUCCCAAAAUUUGCCAAAAAGUGUAUGGGCUUAGAAUCGUGGACUGCACCUUCAAGGAAACCUUUUGUGUGUAAGUGUACCUGCUGGAGGUAUUUGUCACAGUUGAUGAACUCGCGCUCGUGCGGGUCCUGGAGCUUGUGGGUCUUGACGUACUGCCAGAGGGCCUGGAUGAUGACCGGACGGGUCUGGGUGUGUAUCCCCAGCAGCCUGGCCAGCCGCGGGUCCAGCUUAAACUGGGGGGGCUACACAGGAGGGGUGGGGGAAGUCCACAUUAUAUACUACUCAGAAAUGGACCCGACAGUGGAGGUAAUCUCAACAAUGCAAUCUAAAACAUACAAUACUGUAAACUAAGUGGAAUAUGCUGGCAGAUUAACAGUUACACGAGGAGUAGGUACAUAUCACAUGUCUUAUCAUGAGUCCACUUUACAUAUUGAAAUAAAUUGAAAGAAAAUAA
This is a long non-coding RNA of Clupea harengus (Atlantic herring), 680 nucleotides long. RefSeq lists it as uncharacterized. The transcript has 2 exons. The record is from RefSeq and is a predicted model, not a curated record. NCBI's taxonomy places the organism in Eukaryota, Metazoa, Chordata, Actinopteri, Clupeiformes, Clupeidae.